GGCGAACGGGUGAGUAACGCGUUGGUGACCUGCCCCGAAGUGCGGGAUAACUCCGGGAAACUGGAGCUAAUACCUCAUGUGGUCAGUGGAUUUAGAAACCACUGUCUAAAGGUCUUCGGAUCGCUUCGGGAGGGGCCUGCGUCCCAUCAGCUAGUUGGCAGGGUAAUGGCCCACCAAGGCGACGACGGGUAGGGGGCCUGAGAGGGUGACCCCCCACAAUGGAACUGAAACACGGUCCAUACACCUACGGGUGGCAGCAGUAGGGAAUAUUGCACAAUGGGCGAAAGCCUGAUGCAGCAACGCCGCGUGCGCGAUGAAGGCCUUCGGGUUGUAAAGCGCUUUUCUGAGGGAAGAGGAAGGACGGUACCUCAGGAAUAAGUCUCGGCUAACUACGUGCCAGCAGCCGCGGUAACACGUAGGAGGCAAGCGUUAUCCGGAUUUACUGGGCGUAAAGCGCGUGCAGGCGGUUUGGUAAGUUGGAUGUGAAAGCUCCUGGCUCAACUGGGAGAGGCCGUUCAAUACUGCCAGACUAGAGGACGAUAGAGGAAGGUAGAAUUCC
Molecule: ribosomal RNA, 559 nt
Filed under: uncultured Anaerolineae bacterium
Lineage: Bacteria; Bacillati; Chloroflexota; Anaerolineae
Description: bacterial SSU rRNA
Rfam family: Bacterial small subunit ribosomal RNA
Source: RNAcentral